GGACCUUUAAAGUUACUAAACACACGUCUAGUCGGGUAAUGAAAUUGCGUUCACGCCUAUGUUGGUUUUGUUUCCGGAGGCUGCCGUGAGACCGACCACAUCUGACAUGAAGUAACGCAGCUUUAAAGUGCGAGAGCAUUGUGAACACAGCGGGGCUGCUUAAAAGCUAAUGGAGUGUUCUGAAAGAACCAGCUUGAGGGAAGCGAACACGGUCUUAAUAUUUCAUUCAUUGUUUAGCUCUCUACCGUGGCGCACGACCAAAGGAUUUGAAUUAUGCUUUGCAAGAUGAUGUUUCUUCUCCUGGUGGUUUUCUCCUUGAUCAAUUACCCUCUUGCUAAUUGUCAUCACAGCAGUGAUUCAGACAGUGAUGAGGGAAGCCGGAAAUCUCAUCAUUACAGCAGCGAGUCUGACAGUGAUGAGAGAGGCAAUCGUCACCCGUUACCUAAGUGGCCUUACUUCCCUGCCUGGCCGUUUCCUGGUCUGUGGCCGCUGCCACCACCAGCUCCUGCUACACCUCCACCCCCAACUCCAGCACCAACACCAAAACCAACAACAACAACAACAACAACAACAACAACAACAAAAACAACAAAAACAACAACAGUCACUCCUACCACUGAGCCACGAGGAGACAGCGGUUAAAUUGUACUGAUCUGAGAGCAGGAAUAACAGGCUGAGUGACUCAGUCAAAUGGAAAUGUAUGUGUUGAUUUUAUACAUUUCAUUUGUAUUUCAACAUGUUGCAAUGUUCGAACAAUGUGUUUUAUUAUGGGUUCCGCUACCUUUCCAUAUCCUCUUGCAUUUUUCAGUUGUCUACUUUCAUGCACUUUUAAUAUAUGUGUGGUCCUUUUUUUUAAUGCCACAGCCCAUCCAACAACCUAAAGAAUGUUGUGAUAUGUGUUUCAAAAGAUGUAAAAGAAACACCAGCACUUUUUUCAGGUUGUCAUUACGAGUUUUGUCUGAGGUUUGUCUGAGGAAGGCGUUGAAGACACCUGUGGGCGGUUGCUGUCGACACCCAGGUGCAUUAUCCACUCACUGGGCGCACACAUCACCAUCUGUGGAUCAACACAGCUUAAGAAAGGGCUGAGCACUGAGGCUUUAAUACAUGACUCUAUGCUUCAUCUGUCGCACUGUGCUUUCAUCAUGACUCGGCCAAUUCCUCCUCCUUGCUGCAUUUACCCACUUUAAUGUACACUUCAACAGUCCUCUCAGAAAUAUACACUAGUUGUUUAAAAGAGAUAUGUCAUGUUUUGUUUUCAUGUUUUUUGGCAAAAGAGUGAGUUUUGCACAGCUACUCUUAAGAAUGUAACUUUAUUUCCAAGUCUUUUCUAUUUUUAUUCCAGUCUUUUGUUUGUCGAUGUAAACCAGCCAUUCAACAGGCACAGGUUGGUGUGAAUCAUUGAGAACCAUGCACUGAAAAAGAAUGUUUUUUGAAAAUUUUGAAUGUUCAGGUUGUACUUUUCGGAUAAAACUCCUAAUCUGGUGGCUCCUGUCUGUCUGGCUUCUUUUUUACAUCUUCGAUCAAUCUGACUAACUCGCUAAAUUAAAAAUAAAAUACUGUGCUACAUCAAAUAAUAGUGAUUCAGAUCUCCGUCGGUAGCAUUACAUAAUUGAUGGGUUUUAUAUUGACUCAAGCCUCACAGCUGCGAGUAAGAGGGAUAUUCCAUCUGUUAAAUAACGGUUGGAUGUCCAUGGUUUCUCCUCACUUUGUGACGCAUGCUUCCCAUGAAUGAAAUCUCCAACAAUACAUUUACUCAGUGAGUCUUGGAUGAAAUGUAGCUCUUUGAUGGUAGAAAAACAUUAAGCUUUAAUCUUCUUCACUGCUGCGGCAUUUAUCCAUUUAACCUUUUCUGCAGUUGCAACCUACUUCAUGCAGCCAAUGUCUUCCCUAUUUUAACUGAUUGUUUCAACAUGUGGCUCUAGAAUAAAAAUGUUGUGCCACAUUCUUUUCUACCUUGUAGUAUUUUUCUGUUUUCGUUGCACAUUGCGUCUUUGGUUUGACCACAACCACAGCGGCGAGACACUGACACAUCAGCCGCACCCACAGGUGCUCUGAGUAAAACCACAGCCGCCGUAAGUCCGGA
Molecule: long non-coding RNA, 2083 nt
Organism: Gasterosteus aculeatus aculeatus (three-spined stickleback)
Lineage: Eukaryota; Metazoa; Chordata; Actinopteri; Perciformes; Gasterosteidae
Source: Ensembl